RNAcentral lists this ribosomal RNA (451 nucleotides) under uncultured bacterium. Its description in RNAcentral is "partial 16S ribosomal RNA". It matches the Rfam family "Bacterial small subunit ribosomal RNA", at positions 28 to 507 of the family's 1533-position model. The record is from RNAcentral.
GAUGAAUGCUGGCGGCGUGCCUAACACAUGCAAGUCGAGCGGCAGCGAGGGGUGCUUGCACCCUGUCGGCGAGCGGCGAACGGCUGAGUAACGCGUAGGAAUUUUCCCCAAAGUGAGGAAUAACUGCCCGAAAGGGUAGCUAAUGCCGCAUAUGGUCUUCGGAUUACAGGAUUUAUCCGCUUUGGGAGAAGCCUGCGUUGGAUUAGGUUGUUGGUAGGGUAAUGGCCUACCAAGCCGACGAUCCAUAGCUGGGCUGAGAGGAUGAUCAGCCAGACUGGAACUGAGACACGGUCCAGACUCCUACGGGAGGCAGCAGUGAGGAAUCGUCCACAAUGGGCGAAAGCCUGAUGGAGCAACGCCGCGUGAAGGAUGAAGGCCUUCGGGUUGUAAACUUCUUUUAUGAGUGAAGAAUAUGACGGUAACUCGUGAAUAAGCACCGGCUAACUACGUG